This 497-nucleotide ribosomal RNA is filed under the name uncultured bacterium. RNAcentral's name for it is "partial 16S ribosomal RNA". It matches the Rfam family "Bacterial small subunit ribosomal RNA", at positions 28 to 507 of the family's 1533-position model. The record is from RNAcentral.
GAUGAACGCUGGCGGCGUGCCUAAUACAUGCAAGUCGAGCGAACAGACGAGGAGCUUGCUCCUCUGACGUUAGCGGCGGACGGGUGAGUAACACGUGGAUAACCUACCUAUAAGCCUGGGAUAACUUCGGGAAACCGGAGCUAAUACCGGAUAAUAUAUUGAACCGCAUGGUUCAAUAGUGAAAGACGGUUUUGCUGUCCCUUAUAGAUGGAUCCGCGCCGCAUUAGCUAGUUGGUAAGGUAACGGCUUACCAAGGCAACGAUGCGUAGCCGACCUGAGAGGGUGAUCGGCCACACUGGAACUGAGACACGGUCCAGACUCCUACGGGAGGCAGCAGUAGGGAAUCUUCCGCAAUGGGCGAAAGCCUGACGGAGCAACGCCGCGUGAGUGAUGAAGGUCUUCGGAUCGUAAAACUCUGUUAUUAGGGAAGAACAAAUGUGUAAGUAACUAUGCACGUCUUGACGGUACCUAAUCAGAAAGCCACGGCUAACUACGUG